This 79-nucleotide transfer RNA is filed under the name Aspergillus heteromorphus CBS 117.55. It matches the Rfam family "tRNA". Rfam says of the family: Transfer RNA (tRNA) molecules are approximately 80 nucleotides in length. Their secondary structure includes four short double-helical elements and three loops (D, anti-codon, and T loops). The record is from Rfam by way of RNAcentral. Lineage: Eukaryota; Fungi; Ascomycota; Eurotiomycetes; Eurotiales; Aspergillaceae.
UCCGAUAUGGUGUAACGGCUAACAUCGUCGCCUUUCAUUCCGAACGCGACAGCUCGGGGUUCGAUUCCCCGUAUCGGAG